UACAGAGGUCUCAAGCGUUGUUCGGAUUCAUUGGGCGUAAAGGGUGCGUAGGCGGCGCGGUAAGUCGGGUGUGAAAUCUCGGGGCUUAACUCCGAAACUGCAUUCGAUACUGCCGUGCUUGGAGGACUGGAGAGGAGACUGGAAUUUACGGUGUAGCGGUGAAAUGCGUAGAUAUCGUAAGGAAGACCAGUGGCGAAGGCGGGUCUCUGGA
RNAcentral lists this ribosomal RNA (211 nucleotides) under uncultured bacterium. Its description in RNAcentral is "partial 16S ribosomal RNA". It matches the Rfam family "Bacterial small subunit ribosomal RNA", at positions 524 to 733 of the family's 1533-position model. The record is from RNAcentral.